AAGUCGUAACAAGGUAUCCGUAGGUGAACCUGCGGAUGGAUCAUUAUCAACGUAUCCACGUAUCAACCAUUGUGAACUGUUCUUUACCUUUAGAAAGAAAGUGGUGAUAAGCGGAAAGGAAAACAAAGGAUUUCGGUUCUUUUUUCUUUUUCUCUCUUUCUAAAGUGUAUUUUGCUUAUCAUCAAUUUCAUUAACCAUUUUAACCAAAUUUUUUUUUAACUUUUUGAACUGAUUUAAUCUCUUACUCUUCGGAGAAGAAAUUCGAUUUACGAAACAUAAGAACAACUCUUAGCAACGGAUAUCUUGGUUCUC
This 312-nucleotide unclassified non-coding RNA is filed under the name fungal sp. RNAcentral's name for it is "partial internal transcribed spacer region". The stretch from base 1 to 46 matches the Rfam family "Eukaryotic small subunit ribosomal RNA", at positions 1786 to 1831 of the family's 1831-position model. The record is from RNAcentral. Lineage: Eukaryota; Fungi.